This 1098-nucleotide long non-coding RNA is filed under the name Arabidopsis thaliana (thale cress). Its description in RNAcentral is "Sense intronic RNA COLDAIR". Lineage: Eukaryota; Viridiplantae; Streptophyta; Magnoliopsida; Brassicales; Brassicaceae. The record is from RNAcentral.
CUUUGUUCCUAUUCGUUAAAAUUGACAAUCCACAACCUCAAUCUUUUGUUGUGAAAAUCGACAAUCACACAACCUUUGUAUCUUGUGUCUUUUGUCACACAACCUUUGUAUCUUGUGUCUUUUGUCAUGGAAAUUGUCAUUCACACAGCCUUGUUUCUUUGGUGCCUCUAGGAAAUUGAAAAUCCCACAACACUUGUCUUCAUGUAAGAAAUACCAACCUCUUUGGUACGGAUCUAUAAUGAAUCAAUAUAAUCCUAUAUAUAAGUUGUCAAAAUUGAAUCUGGUGUAGUGUCUACUACAACCCUCCAAUAUAAUAACCAAAUGGUUGUAGUAGUUUGGCCAUGUUGGUCAAGAUCGCUGGCCGAUUCUCACUUGAUGCAUACUUUGUUAGGAUUUGUUCACCCCUAGUUAGGUCCAGCCUUGGAAUUGUCGAGACACCUGACUAGAACUCCUGGUCUUAAUUAUGAUUUAAUAAAGAAGAAGCCUUUUAGAACGUGGAACCCUUAGUUACUCAGUUACUCUUUUUGCAUACUUAGGUUGAUGCAAAGAGCUUAACUUCACAAUAGGACUGAUAUCUAUUAACAAAACAAAUUAAGUGAAGUUUUGUCAAAAUUGUUGGAUCUUCUAGGUCAAUAUGUAGUUUAGUUUUUAUCUGUCUUAGUCGCUUCCUUCUAUGGAAGAUAUAUUUAUAGAUAUGUGUGAUAAGUUUCCUACUAAUAUUAGUUAGUGUAACUUCAAGGGCAGAAAACUCUUUACUUUUAUUGCUUGAUUAAUUUGGGGUUUAAAUAUAGGAAAUUGGAACCUCACAGUUUCUAUAAACGAGUAAGUAAUUGAAUGUGAAAUAACAAAAUGGAAGACCGGCUUCCUAUUCUUAGGAGUCUUUUGAUAUUUGCAAAAAAAACAUAUACAAUAGAAAUAUGAGUUUUGUCUAAGACUCGGUCCAUGUAUUUGGAGUUUGGCUUCCUCAUACUUAUGGUUAUCUGGUUACCGCCACAUCAUCAUUAUCAUCUUAUGGGUCAUCAAUACUAGCUCUAUCGCUGGAAAAAACCUUGUCCUCAAGGUUCAUUGAAAAAUCCGAAAAGUUUUCUCGUAUAUGUU